RNAcentral lists this non-coding RNA (23 nucleotides) under Arabidopsis thaliana (thale cress). The record is from RNAcentral. Lineage: Eukaryota; Viridiplantae; Streptophyta; Magnoliopsida; Brassicales; Brassicaceae.
CAUACAACUCGGUGAUGCGAAUA